CAGAAGCGCUUUUCUCUGCAGAGCUCGCUCUUCACCAAAUUAUCAUUUUUUGGUGUGCUGGGGAUAACGAGAAAGGACGCGCAGCAAAUGCUCCACAGGCGUUUUGUCCUGAGGUCAGGACAGCCCUGAGUGACGCGGGGGCAGGGUGAGGAGCCAACCCCAGCGGGGCUGAGGAGCCUCCCAGAUCCCUUUGGGAUCCUCCCGGCCCCUCUCCCAUCCCUGCCGGAUGCCCCCGUGUUGUCCCGUGUGUCUCUGCAGAGGUGAGACCGCGCUGUGCGGAUUGUUAAAUGCCAAUUUAACGCGCGUCCGUGCCGCGCCACAGCCCCGCCGAUUCCCCGCCGUUAAUUACAGCCGGGAUAUCAAAUGGGUUAUCGAUUAUCGGCCUCAUUAUCACCACAGCUGCCUGUCAGCACCCCGCGGUGGUUUGGGAGAACUCUUCCCCUUGCCGUUCCCGGGCUGAAGCUCGGUGGUGGAGCACCAGCUGCGUUCCCACCGGGAGCAGAUCCCGACUCUCCCGAGUGCAGGGGUGGUGUGAGGAGGUGUCGGGGUUCAGAGGAGAUGCAGGUGAAUAAUCCAGCAGUGUUCAAUGUGUGGUUGAGGAUUGGAGAGUGAAACUGUCCCGGAAGCACAGCCGAGGGUGUGAGUGCAUCCAGCCACAGAGCCCUGGGAUGGUUCGGCUUGGAAGGGAAGCUCGAAAUCACCCAGUGGGAUGCCUGGGGAAUUAUGGAUAUUUUGGGGGUUUUUUUUGCCAAAGAAAUACAGAAAUCACCUCUUGGUGAAGUCCCCCUGCACCUGGGGAUGAGUUACUCGCUCCUUCAGAUGCAGAGACACCCAAACAUCACCAGGAACAUCUGAGGGCGGUUUGAUGCUCCAGGAGCUUUGUCCGUGGAUUACCGCUGGAGUUGUCUGUGUGGGGGAUAGCAGGGGGAAAAUGCCUGACAUGAAGAAGUGGGAAGGAGUUGAAACAGAACCAUUCCAGGCCCCAAUGUGUAAUUUGGAGCUGAAAUCUCACGGCAGGAUUGGCCCAUCGCUCACAGACCCUGCGAGGAUAAUUUCCACGGAAGUUAUUUAUGUGGAGAAGCCGAGACACUUGUGCUUUUUGCAGGCAGAUAACGGGGGCUGGGGAAUGAUUUAUGCCAAAUGGAAACGAUUCCUCAUAAUUGCACCGAGUGCUUAAUAUUCCAUCUCCGCCCCGCGAACAGGAAACUGUCUGGCUUUCAAUUUAUGGUUUAAUUUGUGAUAAUCACGCUCCUAAAUCUAUCCACGUGCUCCUUUGCACUCUGGGAUGAAGUGAGGCCCUCUCCCCUGGGAGUCUCCUUGCUCACCCCUCGCUGUCAGCAGCGUUGUCUCCUUUCCUUGCCUCAUCUGCUUCUAAUCAGCCAGGAAUUGUGAAUUUAAUUUGGCUAAUUUCAGGAAUAAAACCCGUGUAUCCCCAUUUCCAGUGCGUCAAGAAUUCCUGGGUGUUCUACCCUCAUCCCAGGAGGGGAAAACGCUGGGAAUAGCAGCGGGUACAGAGCAGGGCAGAGUCACAGAACACUCUGCCAGUGGGAUUUUGUGGUUUUUUUGGGAGCAGGAGAGGCUGAAUGAGGAGCACAAAGUGCCUGGGGUGUCUCCCACCCCAGAGCCGGGAGCCAGCUCUGGAAAGCUCCAACCUCUCCAGAAUCAGUUGGGAUUUCUGUAUCCAGCCUUGCUGUCAGAGGAAUUUCCCCAGGAAUUGGGUUUGGGUUACAGAGGCGUGCGCAUUUUCUGAAGUUUAAGGAUCUUGGCUUGGGCUCUGACUAAAAUCCCACAAACUUUAAUUUAGUGGGAUGGCCUGAAAUGGGGACCGUGCCCUGGAGCUGCCCCUGACAUUAACCAGCUUCCCCAACGUUGUAAUUUCAGCCUGAAACGCUGCCAGACAGGGCAAGGAGCUGAUCCGGGAGGCUGCAGGAGUGGAAACAGUCAGAAAGAUCAGAGCUGGAAAUGCACAGACUCUGGGAGAAGCCAGCAGGAAAACAACUGGAGUGUUCUGCUGCACCUCGAUUUCUCCAGGCUGCAGAAAUCUCCAGGGUCGCUCCUGAACAUCCACAGGAAAAGCCACACAGAGAAAUUGUGCUUGGCCACAGUCAGGGGAGUGAUUUGGCUUUGUCAGUUGAGCUCGCUGAGCCCAAAGAUACCGAAAAUUGUCUGUACUCUCGAUAAUCCCCGUGGAAUCCAACUGGGCUGAGAAAGAUUCUCCUGUCACCUUUUGAUUCCUGCCCAGAAAGAUGCUUCCCAGGCCUCUAAGCAGAUUUUGAGGAUGACAGCCAGCUGCAAUCCAGGAGUCACUGCUAGUUUUGAGGCGCUGCUUGAUUUUAGAGAAUAUCUGAAGGGACUGCCUAAAAUCCAGCAAACCUCCUUGGCUUCUCUUGGAUUAAUGGAAUACCUGGAAGAAGCAGCGCCGCUGCCAUCUGCCCUGUGGCUUCCUGAGGCUUUCUCCAGGCUGUUCCAUCAGCCCAGCACAGAAUUUUUAUGGUUUUAAUGGUGUUUUUAUAUUGGAUUGGACUGGAAUUAGCACAGGCAGCCGUGUCAGGGGAAAGCGCUGGAGCUGGAUUAUCUCCGUUAUUGGGUACGUACACCUCGCAAUUCCACUUGCCAGGAACCUGGGAGAAUCUCUCCCUCCAAGCACAGAAGUGCUGGAAGAGGAUGGUUUGAGGAGCAAAACCCCCGGGAGUCUUGCAGCUUCCUUUAAUUCCUGCAGCAGUUCCCUGAGGCCAGGAGAGUGAUGGGUCUGCAAUAUUGAUUACCCGGGACACGGGGCAAAGCCUGGAUCCGUCAGGAUUAAUUAAGGAUUAAUCAGAGCCUGCUCCUUUCCGCUUCGCUGUUGUCCUGGUGGCUUUUCCAGCCUGCAGAUCCCGGCUCCGUUUUCCAAAGGCAGCCUUGGAAGGGCUGAACCCCAGGCAGGAUUCCAGCUGUUGUCAGCAGGCCACAGCCGUGAGGAAUGAAAAUUUAACUUCUCCCAGAUGUUCUCCCGGCUUCUCCCCCGUCUCCUUCCCGUCCCAUCUUUCAUCCUGCUGCCGGUGGAGGUGGUGCCCGUGGCCAGGGCAGCGCUGGGCUCUCCCAUAAUGGACCUUGACAGGGAAGGGAACAGCAAAGGGGAGAGAUCCAGCCCUCAGCCACAGCCAGAGCUGGAAUUUUAAGGGAUCAAAGGCACCCAGGCAGCCCCUGCAGGAGGGAGAGCAUCUGGAAGAAAUAAUAAUCAGAGGCUGAGGGGGCUGCUUGGCAUCUUCCGAGCAGGUUGGAGCAGCGGCGGGGUGGGGAAAUUGUCCUUUAGCUUUCGGCCGCUCUUGGAGGUUCGAUGGCAGAACCAAAGAUUCCCAAAUGGCUUGGGAAGCUGCCGUGGGGCUCAGCUCCUCGAGAGGAAAAGGCUGGAAUGGGAGCCAAUCCUAUUAUUUUGUUGAUUUAUGUUUUUCCGUAGCACGUGCGGGAGCGGUUGCUACGGGGAAGGGCAAGGGUUGUGUUUAUAAAUGAUGUAAAUCGAAUUACACAGGCACACGCACGUGGAGCCGCUCGUGUAAUACACGGGGUUUGGAUUAAUGGACUAUGGGAUAGCACAGGCCAGCGUGGCUGUACGUGUUCCUAGGACGGAAUUCCUGCCUGGCAGGGUGGGCAGGCCCCGGCACAGGGUGCCCAGAGCAGCUGCGGAUCCCUGGAAGUGUCCAAAGCCUGGACAGGGCUUGGAGCAGCUGGGCUGUGUGACCAGUGACAGGAUUGGGGAGGGAAUGGCUGGAGCUGUGUCUGGGAGGUUCGGGUUGGAUUUUGGGAAAGGUUCUUCCCCCAGAGGGUGCUGGCACAGCCCAGGCUCCCCAGGGAAUGGGCACGGCCCCGAGGCUGCCGGAGCAGCUCCGGGAGGGUUUGGACAGCGCUGCCAGGGGUGCACAGGGUGGGAAUGUUGGGUGUCUGUGCAGGGACAGGGGCUGGAUCAAUGAUCCUGAUGGAUCCCUUCCCUCUCAGCUUAUCCUGUGAUCCUCAAAGUGUUCCCUGAACUCCCCUGGUGUCUCCAGGUGCUGCUGUCCCACCCCAGAGAGUCUGUGUGGUCACAGCUCAGUGCCCUGGGGAUGGCUGGAUCUCUCCACAGGCACUGCCUCACCUGGGAGCUGGGAUCCUGGGGCUGGAGCCCUCCUCACUCCCCAUCCCUCUGGAGCCUUCCUCACUCCCAAUCCCCUGGAGCACGCCUCACUCCCAUCCCUAAAGCAAUCCCCAUUCCCCUGAAGCCCUCCCUGGUCCCCUGGAGCCCUCCUCGCUCCUCAUUCCCCUGGAGCCCUCCUCACUCCUCAUUCCCACCCCUGGAGCCCUCCUCGCUCCCAAUCCCCCCAGAGCGACCCUAAUUCCCAUCCAGCAAUCCUCAUCCUCACUCCCAUCCCUGGACCAAUCCUCAUUCCCCUGGAGCCCUCCUCGCUCCCCAUUCCCAGCCCUGGAGCCCUCCUCGCUCCCCAUUCCCAGCCCUGGAGCCCUCCUCGCUCCCCAUUCCCACCC
Hirundo rustica (Barn swallow) is the source of this 4494-nucleotide long non-coding RNA. RefSeq lists it as uncharacterized. Lineage: Eukaryota; Metazoa; Chordata; Aves; Passeriformes; Hirundinidae. The transcript is spliced from 3 exons. The record is from RefSeq and is a predicted model, not a curated record.